UGUGGUUAAUUCGAUGCAACGCGAAGAACCUUACCUGGUCUUGACAUCCCGGAGACCCUUAGGAAACUAGGGGUGCUUCCAUCUGGAGAAUCUGGAGACAGGCGCUGCAUGGCUGUCGUCAGCUCGUGUCGUGAGAUGUUGGGUUAAGUCCCGCAACGAGCGCAACCCUUGCCUUUAGUUGCCAGCAGUUCGGCUGGGCACUCUAAAGGGACUGCCGGUGUUAAACCGGAGGAAGGUGGGGAUGACGUCAAGUCCUCAUGGCCUUUAUGACCAGGGCUACACACGUACUACAAUGGCCGAUACAAAGGGCAGCGACACUGCGAGGUGAAGCCAAUCCCGUAAAAUCGGUCUCAGUCCGGAUUGGAGUCUGCAACUCGACUCCAUGAAGUUGGAAUCGCUAGUAAUCGUGGAUCAGCAUGCCACGGUGAAUACGUUCCCGGGCCUU
This 445-nucleotide ribosomal RNA is filed under the name uncultured Desulfobulbus sp. RNAcentral's name for it is "bacterial SSU rRNA". It matches the Rfam family "Bacterial small subunit ribosomal RNA", at positions 940 to 1382 of the family's 1533-position model. The record is from RNAcentral. Lineage: Bacteria; Pseudomonadati; Thermodesulfobacteriota; Desulfobulbia; Desulfobulbales; Desulfobulbaceae.